RNAcentral lists this long non-coding RNA (1258 nucleotides) under Anser brachyrhynchus (Pink-footed goose). RNAcentral's name for it is "lncRNA (ENSABRG00000010304.1)". Lineage: Eukaryota; Metazoa; Chordata; Aves; Anseriformes; Anatidae. The record is from RNAcentral.
AUGGUGGCCCCUAAUUCCACUUUUAAAGAGCUAGAACAUAACCUCUCUCCAAGAACAACCAGCAUGCUACGAAACACUGAAAGGGCUCAGGGGAUCACAACAUACAGUCGGAACUUCACAGGAAGAGGUCCUAUGAAUCCCCUUAUACUGCAUGACUAUUACAUGAAAGCAGUUGGCAGACUAACUGGAGAACUAGGUACAGAUGUGGAAUUUGUAAGUACUGCCUUUACUAAAAAUCUGAUGCUUUCACCACAGUAAUAUUGACAAGAGUAUUACCAGAUUCAACUAAAAGAAUUAAGCCCUCCCUUUAAUAACACUUAAAUGCAAGGCAAGAAUCAUUCUAAGAGAAAGGCUAAAGUUCUGUAUACUAAAUCACUCCUGACAGAGCUUCCUGACAGAACUUAUGUAAUGGAUUAGUGAUUUGUUCAGGGUAUGAGGUGCUGGGAGUAGGUUACGGUGAUAUCUGCAUAUUUUUUUUAUCUUAUCAUUUAAAAUUGCCACCAACUCAUGACAGCAAUUCAAAGGACCUUUUGCCUUGGAAAGUAGAAGUAAUAGUCUCCAUAAAAUGAGUUGGCAGCUCUUAUGAACCGUGCAGUACUGCAGAGACUGAAACAUCCUGGCUAGACGUUUAGCUGGUGUUAAUCAGCACAGCUCCACAGCUCCACAUCAGCUUAUUGUCUUUAUUGCACGGUGCUUUAUCUGAUAAGUGACUUAGUAUCAUUGCAGACUCCUGUGUCCUUACUAACUAUACCAGUUUAAGUUUGGCAGAGUUCCUGUGAUUCAUCCUUCUCCAUUUAUGUGAGUGGUUUGCUUUUUUUUCCCCUAAGGAUGCAUCAGUAACAUUGCCAAAUUCUAUUUCAUUGCAAAUACUUACUUUUAAGAACAUAGGCAUGAACAUAGAUAGGGAAUCUCCAUGCUUAUUGUCUUCAAAAAUUUUGAUAGUCAGUGUGGCCUGUAUGAAAGUCUAAAAAUACUAUUUUAUUAAAUGCUACCCAUGCAAACAAAGCACAACAUUGUAGAUACGAAUAGCAAAUCAACUUGUUUUGCUUUUUGCUAAUGCAUCAUUACCUGUAAUGGCUUAAGCCCUUUCAGUGACACCUGCACAUUGUCAUGCUGAGUACGUACACAGUUAUAAUUGUUACCAACUAAGCAAUUUUGCAUGUAAAACAGAUUCCUGCUCACCCUUUCACAGCACUGCUGGCUUUACAGUACUUGCAGCUUCAAACUUCUUUGUCUCUAAUGCCUUCAUAUGUGAUUG